UGGGGAAUUUUGGACGAAUUGGGCGAAAGGCCUGAUCCAGCAAUGCCGCGUGUGUGAAGAAGGCCUUCGGGUUGUAAAGCACUUUUGUCCGGAAAGAAAUCCUUGGCUCUAAUACAGUCGGGGGAUGACGGUACCGGAAGAAUAAGCACCGGCUAACUACGUGCCAGCAGCCGCGGUAAUACGUAGGGUGCAAGCGUUAAUCGGAAUUACUGGGCGUAAAGCGUGCGCAGGCGGUUUGCUAAGACCGAUGUGAAAUCCCCGGGCUCAACCUGGGAACUGCAUUGGUGACUGGCAGGCUAGAGUAUGGCAGAGGGGGGUAGAAUUCCACGUGUAGCAGUGAAAUGCGUAGAGAUGUGGAGGAAUACCGAUGGCGAAGGCAGCCCCCUGGCAAGUACUGACGCUCAUGCACG
This 410-nucleotide ribosomal RNA is filed under the name uncultured bacterium. Its description in RNAcentral is "partial 16S ribosomal RNA". It matches the Rfam family "Bacterial small subunit ribosomal RNA", at positions 355 to 755 of the family's 1533-position model. The record is from RNAcentral.